RNAcentral lists this unclassified non-coding RNA (714 nucleotides) under Vahlkampfia sp. AK-2007. RNAcentral's name for it is "partial contains ITS1, 5.8S ribiosomal RNA, ITS2, 28S ribosomal RNA". The stretch from base 223 to 376 matches the Rfam family "5.8S ribosomal RNA". The record is from RNAcentral. Lineage: Eukaryota; Heterolobosea; Eutetramitea; Acrasida; Vahlkampfiidae.
GAAAACUUUUGUCCAUCGGUGUCUGUUCCCCUCCUCCGGGAGGGGGUGGAGACGCUCCGACACCCGAUAGCGAACGGUCGAAGUCCCUUCCCGGGACCUCAAGGACUCAGGUCCUCGAACCAUCCCGGGGAGACUCCAAAAACCGUAGCCCCCUCGGCAAAACCAACAUCGAUGGAGGGAUCGCUCGUCGAUCCUUUCAGAAACGAGAAUAACCUAGUCGACUACUUUCGACGACGGAUACCUCGGUUCCCACGCCGAUGAAGAGCGCGGCGAAACGCGAUAUGUCGUGCGAAUCGCAGAAUUCGGCGAAUCACGCAAUCCUCGAACGCAUCCGGCGCUCUCGGGUCUUCCCGGGAGCAUGCCCGUCUGAGCGUCGUUCCCAAAAAUCCCAACCCUCGAUGGUUCGAAACCAUCCGGGGAAGGGUGAUCGGGAGUCUGCAGAAAUGCAGUCUUCUGGGAACGAGGCGCACCCUCUCGAGCCCCGUCCGACGACGAGGGACCAGGUGCUUAGCUUCCGUCGAGAGCGCCUCAGGGUGCAACUCACAUCGGGAGUCCAUGCCCUGAUCCAUUUCAACUCUCGUCGACCUCGGGAUCAGCUCCGGAGUGGACAGACGCCGUCCGUGGUCCGUGAGACCAGGGUCGGAGGAGUCACAUCCUCCCCUCUCUAACCACGACCUCAGAUCGGGCAAGAUUACCCCGUUGAACUUAAGCAUU